RNAcentral lists this ribosomal RNA (253 nucleotides) under uncultured bacterium. Its description in RNAcentral is "partial 16S ribosomal RNA". It matches the Rfam family "Bacterial small subunit ribosomal RNA", at positions 524 to 776 of the family's 1533-position model. The record is from RNAcentral.
UACGAAGGGGGCUAGCGUUGUUCGGAAUUACUGGGCGUAAAGCGCGCGCAGGCGGUUCUUUAAGUCAGGGGUGAAAGCCCAGAGCUCAACUCUGGAAUUGCCUUUGAAACUAGAGAACUUGGGUACGGGAGAGGUGAGUGGAAUUCCCAGUGUAGCGGUGAAAUGCGUAGAUAUAGGAAGGAACACCAGUGGCGAAGGCGACCACCUGGACUGAUACUGACACUGAGGUGCGAAAGCGUGGGGAGCAAACAGG